RNAcentral lists this unclassified non-coding RNA (335 nucleotides) under Podila clonocystis. Its description in RNAcentral is "sequence contains 5.8S rRNA gene". The stretch from base 1 to 53 matches the Rfam family "5.8S ribosomal RNA", at positions 102 to 154 of the family's 154-position model. The record is from RNAcentral. Lineage: Eukaryota; Fungi; Mortierellomycota; Mortierellomycetes; Mortierellales; Mortierellaceae.
GAACGCAUAUUGCGCUCUUUGGUAUUCCGAAGAGCAUGCUUGUUUGAGUAUCAGUAAACACCUCAACCUCCUCUUGAUUUUUCAAAAGGAGGGUGGACUUGAGCUAUCCCAACAACCUUUAUCGGUCGGCGGGCGGCUUGAAAUGCAGGUGCAGCUGGACUUUUAUCUGAGCUAAAAGCAUAUCUAUUUAGUCCUCGUCAAACAGGAUUAUUACUUUUGCUGCAGCUAACAUAAAGGAUAAUUGUCCUCUUUGCUGACUGAUGCAGGAUUUUACGACACUUUAUGUGUUGUUCAACUCGAUCUCAAAUCAAGUAAGACUACCCGCUGAACUUAAG